This 58-nucleotide microRNA precursor is filed under the name Heligmosomoides polygyrus. RNAcentral's name for it is "microRNA hpo-mir-10092 precursor". The record is from miRBase by way of RNAcentral. Lineage: Eukaryota; Metazoa; Nematoda; Chromadorea; Rhabditida; Heligmosomidae.
UCCAGCUGUGUGGCAUUGUACUUGAAAUUAAGUACAUGCAACCUCAGUUGGAGUCGGA